CAAAGAACUUUGAAGAGAGAGUUCAAGAGGGCGUGAAACCGUUUGGAAGGAAACGGAUAGAGCCGACGACGGUCGGCGGGAUUCAGUUCGCCGGUCAGGACCCGGAUUCGUUCGCGGACAGAUCGCCGCUGCGGGUUCGGGCUGCGUGCCGGCGGAUGCAUUUCCCGUCGACGAGCGUCGAGGGCGACGGCGACGCGGAACGAAACCCAGGGUGCCGGCCUCGUUCGCGGGGUGUCCCACCUGGGCGGAGGUCCGUCGUCGCCGCCGUUUUGAAGACGUCCGCUCUGCUCGGUAGUCCGGCUACUUGGUCGAAUGAAUCUGGGCGGCUAGCUUGCUCGCCGUUCUAACCCUCGGCUAGGUUCUGUUGGGCGAUCCGAGCGACGUCGACCUCGGCGUCAAAGUCGGCGACCUAUCCGACCCGUCUUGAAACACGGACCAAGGAGUCUAACAUGUGUGCGAGUCACUGGGCGGCAAACCCAGAGGCGAAAUGAAAGUGAAGACCGGCUCGAUCGGUUGAUACGGGAUCUUCCCUCGAGGGAGCGCACCGUAGCCCCGUCUCGUUAGCUUGUCUAAAGGGCGGAGGAAGAGCAUACACGUUGGGACCCGAAAGAUGGUGAACUAUGCCUGAGCAGGACGAAGCCAGAGGAAACUCUGGUGGAGGUCCGAAGCGGUUCUGACGUGCAAAUCGAUCGUCAGACUUGGGUAUAGGGGCGAAAGACUAAUCGAACCAUC
RNAcentral lists this ribosomal RNA (732 nucleotides) under Sabatieria celtica. Its description in RNAcentral is "eukaryotic LSU rRNA". It matches the Rfam family "Eukaryotic large subunit ribosomal RNA", at positions 367 to 944 of the family's 3401-position model. Lineage: Eukaryota; Metazoa; Nematoda; Chromadorea; Araeolaimida; Comesomatidae. The record is from RNAcentral.